This 440-nucleotide ribosomal RNA is filed under the name uncultured bacterium. RNAcentral describes it as "partial 16S ribosomal RNA". It matches the Rfam family "Bacterial small subunit ribosomal RNA", at positions 338 to 795 of the family's 1533-position model. The record is from RNAcentral.
CCUACGGGAGACAGCAGUGGGGAAUAUUGCACAAUGGGGGAAACCCUGAUGCAGCGACGCCGCGUGAGCGAUGAAGUAUUUCGGUAUGUAAAGCUCUAUCAGCAGGGAAGAAAAUGACGGUACCUGACUAAGAAGCCCCGGCUAACUACGUGCCAGCAGCCGCGGUAAUACGUAGGGGGCAAGCGUUAUCCGGAUUUACUGGGUGUAAAGGGAGCGUAGACGGUCCUGCAAGCCAGAUGUGAAAGCCCGGGGCUCAACCCCGGGACUGCAUUUGGAACUGUAAGGCUAGAGUGUAGGAGAGGCAGGCGGAAUUCCUAGUGUAGCGGUGAAAUGCGUAGAUAUUAGGAGGAACACCAGUGGCGAAGGCGGCCUGCUGGACGAUGACUGACGUUGAGGCUCGAAAGCGUGGGGAGCAAACAGGAUUAGAUACCCUUGUAGUC